GAUGAACGCUGGCGGCGUGCCUAAUACAUGCCAGUCGAGCGAACAGAUGAGGAGCUUGCUCCUCUGACGUUAGCGGCGGACGGGUGAGUAACACGUGGAUAACCUACCUAUAAGACUGGGAUAACUUCGGGAAACCGGAGCUAAUACCGGAUAAUAUAUUGAACCGCAUGGUUCAAUAGUGAAAGACGGUUUUGCUGUCACUUAUAGAUGGAUCCGCGCCGCAUUAGCUAGUUGGUAAGGUAACGGCUUACCAAGGCAACGAUGCGUAGCCGACCUGAGAGGGUGAUCGGCCACACUGGAACUGAGACACGGUCCAGACUCCUACGGGAGGCAGCAGUAGGGAAUCUUCCGCAAUGGGCGAAAGCUUGACGGAGCAACGCCGCGUGAGUGAUGAAGGUCUUCGGAUCGUAAAACUCUGUUAUUAGGGAAGAACAAAUGUGUAAGUAACUAUGCGCGUCUUGACGGUACCUAAUCAGAAAGCCACGGCUAACUACGUG
Molecule: ribosomal RNA, 497 nt
Filed under: uncultured bacterium
Lineage: Bacteria
Description: partial 16S ribosomal RNA
Rfam family: Bacterial small subunit ribosomal RNA
Source: RNAcentral